This 253-nucleotide ribosomal RNA is filed under the name uncultured bacterium. RNAcentral's name for it is "partial 16S ribosomal RNA". It matches the Rfam family "Bacterial small subunit ribosomal RNA", at positions 524 to 776 of the family's 1533-position model. The record is from RNAcentral.
UACAGAGGUCCCGAGCGUUGUUCGGAUUUAUUGGGCGUAAAGGGUGCGUAGGUGGUGCUGUAAGUCAGGUGUGAAAUCUCGGGGCUCAACCCCGAAUCUGCACUUGAUACUGCAGUGCUCGAGGACUGGAGAGGAGAUUGGAAUUCAUGGUGUAGCAGUGAAAUGCGUAGAUAUCAUGAGGAAGACCAGUGGCGAAGGCGGAUCUCUGGACAGUUCCUGACACUGAGGCACGAAGGCCAGGGGAGCAAACGGG